GGUCAAGUGAAGAAGCGCAUACGGUGGAUGCCUUGGCAGUCAGAGGCGAUGAAAGACGUGGUAGCCUGCGAAAAGCUUCGGGGAGUCGGCAAACAGACUUUGAUCCGGAGAUCUCUGAAUGGGGGAACCCACCUAGGAUAACCUAGGUAUCUUGUACUGAAUCCAUAGGUGCAAGAGGCGAACCAGGGGAACUGAAACAUCUAAGUACCCUGAGGAAAAGAAAUCAACCGAGAUUCCCUUAGUAGUGGCGAGCGAACGGGGAUUAGCCCUUAAGCUUCAUUGAUUUUAGCGGAACGCUCUGGAAAGUGCGGCCAUAGUGGGUGAUAGCCCCGUACGCGAAAGGAUCUUUGAAGUGAAAUCGAGUAGGACGGAGCA
This 375-nucleotide ribosomal RNA is filed under the name Pseudomonas aeruginosa. RNAcentral describes it as "partial 23S ribosomal RNA". It matches the Rfam family "Bacterial large subunit ribosomal RNA", at positions 1 to 424 of the family's 2925-position model. The record is from RNAcentral. Lineage: Bacteria; Pseudomonadati; Pseudomonadota; Gammaproteobacteria; Pseudomonadales; Pseudomonadaceae.